GACGAACGCUGGCGGCGUGCCUAACACAUGCAAGUCGAGCGAACAGACGAGGAUCUUGGUCCUCUGACGUUAGCGGCGGACGGGUGAGUAACACGUGGAUGACCUACCUAUAAGACAGGGAGAACUACGGGAAAUCGGAGCUAAGACCGGAAAAUAUAUCGAACCGCAUGGUUCAAUAGUGAAAGACGGUUGUGGUGUCAGUUAUAGACGGAUCCGCGUCGCAUUAGUUAGUUGGUACGGUAACGGGUUACCAAGGCAACGAGGGUUAGCGGACCCCAGAGGGUGGUCCGCCACCCGGGAUCUGAGGAUCGUCCGAGACUCCGGGGCGAGGCAGCAGUAGGGACUCUUACGCAAUGGACGAAAGGCUGAUGGAAGACAAUGGCGUGAAUCAUGAAGGUCCUCUGCUCGUUGAGUGCUGUUGUCCUGAGAGAAGAAAAGUGCAAUUAGCUAUGCACGUCUUGACGGUACCUGCUCAAGAAGCCCCGGCUAACUACGUG
RNAcentral lists this ribosomal RNA (497 nucleotides) under uncultured bacterium. RNAcentral describes it as "partial 16S ribosomal RNA". It matches the Rfam family "Bacterial small subunit ribosomal RNA", at positions 28 to 507 of the family's 1533-position model. The record is from RNAcentral.